CCCUCUGCUCCUGAGCCCAGCCAACGACCCGCACCUGCACCUCAUCAGCCACCUCGUCAGCCUGCCACACCUGCCACUAGUCAACCUCAUCUCUGCCUGUAUUUCAGCCCCGGUCCUCCACACCAUUGUUGCUUGAUCGUUGUUGCACCAUAGUCGGUGCCACCUCUGUGUUCAGGCUCUCAUGUUUCUUGUUUUCUCACAUUUUCCCUGUGCUUAGUCUCCGUUAUCUCUAAUCCUGUCUCUCCGUCUGUUUCCCUCCCAGGUUCACUCACCCUCGUCUUCCGUUCAGUCGGCUGGGCUCGUCCUCUGGACCUCUCCUCUUCGGGCUUCCCCCACGGCGCCCUCCCGAUUCUCCCUUGCAUCCUUCCUUCCUCGGCCCCAGUGUUCCCUGGUUCCCGUCCCAUUGGCUUCCCUGUGCCAGUGUUUCCCCGGCAUCCUCCUCUCCCUCCACUCCAGUCCCUCAACCCCCUUUAAACCUCCUUCGCUUAUAGUGCUGCGUUUGGGUCCUCUCUGUCCCCACACCAUCCACGUAACAGAACGAUCAAGCCACCCAUGGACCCAGCAGACUUAAGAGCGGAGAGGGACAUGUUCCUGGAUGUCUUGGCCGAGUUGUGGUCUAAGUGGCAGUUGGCAUCUGACCACGAAUCCCGCCAAGCUGCCCUCAUACAGGCUCACUGGGAGAUAGCCGCGAGGCCAUGGCUGCAGCGUCGGCUGCCUAGGUGGGCAAGACAUCUUGUAAACUCCAGCCCUCGGCUGUUCCAGCCUGUUCCCUGGCCUGCUAGCAUGCCCCCAGCCUCCAGCCUAUCCCUCCUGAUACCCAACCGGCUAGCCCCCAGUUUGGUCCAGAUCCCCAGCCUGUCCCUGAUCCUCAGCCGGCUAGCGCCGCUAACCCCCAGCUUGUCCCUUGGCCUGCAAGCACCGCUGGCCUCCUGCCUGCCCCCCCGAUCCCUGGCCUGCUAGUGCCACUAGCCUCCUGCCUGUCUCUCCUGAUCCCCCAGCCCCUUAGGGCCGCUAGCCCCCAUGCCUUGUCGGAGGACCGGCCGACCCCUGCUCCUCGUGUUCUGUUGGAGGACCCACUGGCUUCAGCCCUCUGGCUUGCCUAGCCCUGCCCCCACAGCCUGUGGAGAGGUCGCCUAGCCCCGCUCCCUGGCCUCAGGAGAGGUCGUCUCGCCCCUUAGCCCAGCCCUCGGGCCGCCUGCCUGCCCUCCCUGGCUCCCCUGCUCUGUCCUCGGGCUGCCCCCCUGAACUCCCUGGUCCGCCCGAACCCUCUAGUCCCUCUGCUCUGCCCUCAGGACCCCCUGGUCCCCCAGCUCUGACCUCUGGCACCCCACCUGAACUCCCUGGUUCCCCUGCUCUACCCUCUGGCUCCCAGUCUAGUCCUAUGUCUUCAGUUCAGCCCUGCCCGUUCCCCUAAUCCUUCCCAGUCCUAAAACCCUCCCUGUGUUUUGUUUUGGACCCUGGACCUCCGUGCGACUUCCUCCCCCUGACGUUCAUCUGCCAAGCCUCACCUAGUCCAGUGGGAAAGCCACCAGGGGCCCUGUUGUGGUGGCAGCCCGGCUGACUGUUCACUCACCCUCGUCCUCCGUUCAGUCGGCUGGGCUCGUCCUCCAGACCUCCCCUUUGGGCUUCCCCCACAGCGUCCUCCCAGUUCUCCCUUGCAUCCUCCUUUCCUCGACCCCCAGUGUUCCCUGGGUCCCAUUGGUUUCCCUGUUCCAGUAUUUCCCCGGCAUCCUCCAGUACCUCAACCCCCUUUUUCCCUAAAUAAACCUCCUUCACUCAGA
Micropterus dolomieu (smallmouth bass) is the source of this 1781-nucleotide long non-coding RNA. RefSeq lists it as uncharacterized. Lineage: Eukaryota; Metazoa; Chordata; Actinopteri; Centrarchiformes; Centrarchidae. The record is from RefSeq and is a predicted model, not a curated record. The transcript is spliced from 2 exons.